RNAcentral lists this ribosomal RNA (994 nucleotides) under uncultured bacterium. RNAcentral's name for it is "bacterial SSU rRNA". It matches the Rfam family "Bacterial small subunit ribosomal RNA", at positions 8 to 997 of the family's 1533-position model. The record is from RNAcentral.
AGAGUUUGAUCCUGGCUCAGGAUGAACGCUAGCGACAGGCUUAACACAUGCAAGUCGAGGGGCAGCAUAGAAGUAGCAAUACUUUGGUGGCGACCGGCGCACGGGUGAGUAACGCGUAUGCAACCUACCUAUCAGAGGGGAAUAACCCGGCGAAAGUCGGACUAAUACCGCAUAAAACAGGGGCACCGCAUGGUGAUAUUUGUUAAAGAAAUUCGCUGAUAGAUGGGCAUGCGUUCCAUUAGGUAGUUGGUGAGGUAACGGCUCACCAAGCCGACGAUGGAUAGGGGAACUGAGAGGUUGGUCCCCCACACUGGUACUGAGACACGGACCAGACUCCUACGGGAGGCAGCAGUGAGGAAUAUUGGUCAAUGGGCGGGAGCCUGAACCAGCCAAGUCGCGUGAAGGAAGAAGGAUCUAUGGUUCGUAAACUUCUUUUGCAGGGGAAUAAAGUGCAGGACGUGUCCUGUUUUGUAUGUACCCUGAGAAUAAGGAUCGGCUAACUCCGUGCCAGCAGCCGCGGUAAUACGGAGGAUCCGAGCGUUAUCCGGAUUUAUUGGGUUUAAAGGGUGCGUAGGUGGUUUGAUAAGUCAGCGGUGAAAGUUUGCAGCUUAACUGUAAAAAUGCCGUUGAAACUGUCGGACUUGAGUGUAAAUGAGGUAGGCGGAAUGCGUGGUGUAGCGGUGAAAUGCAUAGAUAUCACGCAGAACUCCGAUUGCGAAGGCAGCUUACUAAGCUACAACUGACACUGAAGCACGAAAGCGUGGGGAUCAAACAGGAUUAGAUACCCUGGUAGUCCACGCAGUAAACGAUGAUUACUAGCUGUUUGCGAUACACAGUAAGCGGCACAGCGAAAGCGUUAAGUAAUCCACCUGGGGAGUACGCCGGCAACGGUGAAACUCAAAGGAAUUGACGGGGGCCCGCACAAGCGGAGGAACAUGUGGUUUAAUUCGAUGAUACGCGAGGAACCUUACCCGGGCUUGAAUUGCAGAGGAAC